GUACGGUUUUGCGAGAAUUAAUAGGGAAGGCGGUCAGAGUCCGCCGCAACAGCCAUUACCGUGUUCGGCUAAAGGGAGCAUUAUGCCACUGAGUUAAUCGGGAAGGCGCUUCACAAUAUAUGCCGUAAGUCGGGAGACCUGCCGUACUCGUA
This 152-nucleotide non-coding RNA is filed under the name uncultured Ruminococcus sp. Lineage: Bacteria; Bacillati; Bacillota; Clostridia; Eubacteriales; Oscillospiraceae. The record is from RNAcentral.